This 400-nucleotide ribosomal RNA is filed under the name uncultured bacterium. RNAcentral's name for it is "bacterial SSU rRNA". It matches the Rfam family "Bacterial small subunit ribosomal RNA", at positions 355 to 754 of the family's 1533-position model. The record is from RNAcentral.
UGAGGAAUUUUGCACAAUGGGGGCAACCCUGAUGCAGCGACGCCGCGUGUGGGAUGAAGGGGCUAUGCCUUGUAAACCACUGUCGAAUGGGAAUAAAGGUUCGGUCGCCGAACUGGGAAUGUACCAUUGGAGGAAGGAUCGGCUAACUACGUGCCAGCAGCCGCGGUAAUACGUAGGAUCCAAGCGUUGUCCGGAAUUACUGGGUGUAAAGGGUGCGCAGGCGGGCUUGUGCGUCGAAGGUUAAAUACCGUAGCUCAACUAAGGGAGUGCCUUCGAAACGGCGAGUCUUGAAUACGAGAGAGGUAGGUAGAAUUCCUGGUGUAGCGGUGAAAUGCGUAGAUAUCAGGAGGAAUACCAGUGGCGAAGGCGGCCUACUGGCUCGUUAUUGACGCUCAUGCAC